Molecule: ribosomal RNA, 209 nt
Filed under: uncultured bacterium
Lineage: Bacteria
Description: partial 16S ribosomal RNA
Rfam family: Bacterial small subunit ribosomal RNA
Source: RNAcentral
UGCGUAGGUGGUUUCUUAAGUCAGAGGUGAAAGGCUACGGCUCAACCGUAGUAAGCCUUUGAAACUGGGAAACUUGAGUGCAGGAGAGGAGAGUGGAAUUCCUAGUGUAGCGGUGAAAUGCGUAGAUAUUAGGAGGAACACCAGUUGCGAAGGCGGCUCUCUGGACUGUAACUGACACUGAGGCACGAAAGCGUGGGGAAGCAAACCAG